CCUACGGGAGGCUGCAGUGAGGAAUAUUGGUCAAUGGACGAGAGUCUGAACCAGCCAAGUAGCGUGAAGGAUGACUGCCCUACGGGUUGUAAACUUCUUUUAUAAGGGAAUAAAACGUUCCACGUGUGGGUUUUUGUAUGUACUAUAUGAAUAAGGAUCGGCUAACUCCGUGCCAGCAGCCGCGGUAAUACGGAGGAUCCGAGCGUUAUCCGGAUUUAUUGGGUUUAAAGGGAGCGUAGGUGGAUUGUUAAGUCAGUUGUGAAAGGUUGCGGCUCAACCGUAAAAUUGCAGUUGAAACGGGCAGUCUUGAGUACAGUAGAGGUAGGCGGAAUUCGUGGUGUAGCGGUGAAAUACUUAGAUAUCACGAAGAACUCCGAUUGCGAAGGCAGCUCACUAGACUGCCACUGACACUGAGGCUCGAAAGUGUGGGUAUCAAACAGGAUUAGAUACCCUUGUAGUC
This 460-nucleotide ribosomal RNA is filed under the name uncultured bacterium. RNAcentral describes it as "partial 16S ribosomal RNA". It matches the Rfam family "Bacterial small subunit ribosomal RNA", at positions 338 to 795 of the family's 1533-position model. The record is from RNAcentral.